AAGACGCGUGGCGGCAGGCUUAACACAUGCAAGUCGAACGCCCCGCAAGGGGAGUGGCAGACGGGUGAGUAACGCGUGGGAAUCUACCGUACCCUACGGAAUAACGCAUGGAAACGUGUGCUAAUACCGUAUACGCCCUACGGGGGAAAGAUUUAUCGGGGUAUGAUGAGCCCGCGUUGGAUUAGCUAGUUGGUGGGGUAAAGGCCUACCAAGGCGACGAUCCAUAGCUGGUCUGAGAGAAUGAUCAGCCACAUUGGGACUGAGACACGGCCCAAACUCCUACGGGAGGCAGCAGUGGGGAAUAUUGGACAAUGGGCGCAAGCCUGAUCCAGCCAUGCCGCGUGAGUGAUGAAGGUCUUAGGAUUGUAAAGCUCUUUCACCGGAGAAGAUAAUGACGGUAUCCGGAGAAGAAGCCCCGGCUAACUUCGUG
RNAcentral lists this ribosomal RNA (430 nucleotides) under uncultured bacterium. RNAcentral describes it as "bacterial SSU rRNA". It matches the Rfam family "Bacterial small subunit ribosomal RNA", at positions 37 to 507 of the family's 1533-position model. The record is from RNAcentral.